GAUGAACGCUGGCGGCGUGCCUAAUACAUGCAAGUCGAGCGAACAGACGAGGAGCUUGCUCCUCUGACGUUAGCGGCGGACGGGUGAGUAACACGUGGAUAACCUACCUAUAAGACUGGGAUAACUUCGGGAAACCGGAGCUAAUACCGGAUAAUAUAUUGAACCGCAUGGUUCAAUAGUGAAAGACGGUUUUGCUGUCACUUAUAGAUGGAUCCGCGCCGCAUUAGCUAGUUGGUAAGGUAACGGCUUACCAAGGCGACGAUGCGUAGCCGACCUGAGAGGGUGAUCGGCCACACUGGAACUGAGACACGGUCCAGACUCCUACGGGAGGCAGCGGUAGGGAAUCUUCCGCAAUGGGCGAAAGCUUGACGGAGCAACGCCGCGUGAGUGAUGAAGGUCUUCGGAUCGUAAAACUCUGUUAUUAGGGAAGAACAAAUGUGUAAGUAACUAUGCACGUCUGGACGGUACCUAAUCAGAAAGCCACGGCUAACUACGU
RNAcentral lists this ribosomal RNA (496 nucleotides) under uncultured bacterium. RNAcentral describes it as "partial 16S ribosomal RNA". It matches the Rfam family "Bacterial small subunit ribosomal RNA", at positions 28 to 506 of the family's 1533-position model. The record is from RNAcentral.